GGGAUGCCGUUCGAAACUGUCAUGGCUAGUUCCGGUAGAGGUGAGUGGAAUUCUCGGUGUAGCGGUGAAAUGCGCAGAUAUCGAGAGGAACACCAGUAGCGAAGGCGGCUCACUGGGCCGGUAAAGACGCUGAGGAGCGAAAGCGUGGGGAGCAAACAGGAUUAGAUACCCUGGUAGUCCACGCCGUAAACGUUGAACACUAGGUGUGGUGGGCAGAUCCAUGUCUGCCGUGCCGAAGCUAACGCAUUAAGUGUUCCGCCUGGGGAGUACGGCCGCAAGGCUAAAACUCAAAGGAAUUGACGGGGCCCCGCACAAGCGGCGGAGCAUGCGGCUUAAUUCGAUGCAACCCGAAGAACCUUACCUGGACUUGACAUCAUGGGUCUAUCUGUGGAAACACAGAGUGCUUUUGCGCCCAUGACAGGUGGUGCAUGGCU
Molecule: ribosomal RNA, 434 nt
Filed under: uncultured Acidimicrobiales bacterium
Lineage: Bacteria; Bacillati; Actinomycetota; Acidimicrobiia; Acidimicrobiales
Description: bacterial SSU rRNA
Rfam family: Bacterial small subunit ribosomal RNA
Source: RNAcentral